AUUCAGCUGACCCAGAUCCUCUGCAGGAUUUCUGUGUUGCUGACUUAAAAGCCUCUGCAUCGUUAAAUGGCUUCCCUUGCAAACCUGCAGAAGAAGUAACUUCUAAUGAUUUUUUCUUUGAUGGUUUGAGCNNNNNNNNGGCAACACAACAAACAUCUUUGGUUGGUCUGUGACUGCAGCUAAUGUUCUUUCAUUUCCUGGCCUCAAUACUCUAGGAAUUUCGAUGAACCGAGUAGACUUUGCUCCCGGA
Molecule: unclassified non-coding RNA, 250 nt
Filed under: Hevea brasiliensis (rubber tree)
Lineage: Eukaryota; Viridiplantae; Streptophyta; Magnoliopsida; Malpighiales; Euphorbiaceae
Source: RNAcentral